Molecule: ribosomal RNA, 460 nt
Filed under: uncultured bacterium
Lineage: Bacteria
Description: partial 16S ribosomal RNA
Rfam family: Bacterial small subunit ribosomal RNA
Source: RNAcentral
CCUACGGGCGGCAGCAGUGAGGAAUAUUGGUCAAUGGACGAGAGUCUGAACCAGCCAAGUAGCGUGAAGGAUGACUGCCCUACGGGUUGUAAACUUCUUUUAUAAAGGAAUAAAGUGAGGCCCGUGUGCCUUUUUUUAUGUACUUUAUGAUUAAGGAUCGGCUAACUCCGUGCCAGCAGCCGCGGUAAUACGGAGGAUCCGAGCUUUAUCCGGAUUUAUUGGGUUUAAAGGGAGCGUAGAUGGGUUGUUAAGUCAGUUGUGAAAGUUUGCGGCUCAACCGUAAAAUUGCAAUUGAUACUGGCAGUCUUGAGUACAGUUGAGGUAGGCGGAAUUCGUGGUGUAGCGGUGAAAUGCUUAGAUAUCACGAAGAACUCCGAUUGCGAAGGCAGCUUACUAAACUGCCACUGACAUUGAUGCUCGAAAGUGUGGGUAUCAAACAGGAUUAGAUACCCCAGUAGUC